AUGGCCCCUGCCUCCAUAGCCCUCCGGCAAAGCCUCCUCUUCCCUCCAGCCGGCAGCCCAGACGCUGCCCUCACCUACCUCUCCUCUGGACACGAGCUAGACCUCCCAUGGGGUCCCUCAGGCGAACUUCCCCUCCUGCUGGAGGCCACGGCCUGCCCUUCCCCAUUGACCCCUGGGGCUAGUGUCAACCUUGAAGCCUGCCUGGUGCCAGCGGGGACUGGAAGUUGCACAGCAGGUGCCCAAGACCUUAGGCUGAAGGUCUGUCCCCAGCCUGUCGUGUUUCUGGAACAGGAAAUGGGUGCCUUCCAUCACUCGGGGCCCAGGAACCAGAGAUCAGCCCCAAAGAAAGCAGGCUGGUCACCGAACCGUGGCCGCACUACAGACAGACACACUUGUAGGCACACGGGUCAGUCGCUGCCGGGCCUGCAGCCUCUGCCCCCGGGGAAUUGCAGUGCUGCUAAGCUGACUACCGGGUUUGGAGCAUGGUCUCAAACCCCAGGUGGGUGUCACCGUCUGCUGUUAACAAAAAACAAGCAAAAAACCAACCAACCAACCAACCAACCAAAGUGCUGGGAAUAUUCUGCACGUAUCGUGUUGGGCGUGUCUAGGGCUUUCCUGGGAAGGGAAUCACGGGCUCGUCAAGAACAUUUCCUCAUUUGUCAGGAUUGCAGAGCUGUCCCUAAGUCGCUCUGCAAAUGUAACCCCUGCCCCACCAGGCCCAGGAUCUGGAGGCCUUGGGUGGGUCCAGGCAGGCCCCAGGUCACUGGGCUGAGGAUCUAUGUGACCAGUUCUCACAAGUGUGUUGUAAAUGCCUGUGAAGUGCAUGUCCACCUCGACCUGCACGCUCACUGCACACCUGUCCACCCAAUGACCAGGGCACCAUGGCCCCCUUACAGCCAGACCGUCUCCACCUGGCCCCCAGCGAUUGUGAUGCCCUUGCCUCUUCCACAUCUCACCAGUGGGAGGACAUCGGAUUUAGCCUUUUGCAUCUGCCCUUCCGGCCCUGUGUGCUGUGAGGCUCAGGGACGGGGCAUCUGCGGUUUGUCCCUGAUCUCCAGGUAG
Molecule: long non-coding RNA, 1062 nt
Filed under: Canis lupus familiaris (dog)
Lineage: Eukaryota; Metazoa; Chordata; Mammalia; Carnivora; Canidae
Also listed under: 1 other name
Description: lncRNA (ENSCAFG00805000058.1)
Source: RNAcentral